CAGAGCGUGGCUGAAAACUAAGCAUCUCCCUUACACCGAGAAGAUAUCCAUGAAAGUUGGAUCACUCUGA
RNAcentral lists this transfer RNA (70 nucleotides) under Phractolaemus ansorgii (hingemouth). RNAcentral describes it as "tRNA-Val". Lineage: Eukaryota; Metazoa; Chordata; Actinopteri; Gonorynchiformes; Kneriidae. The record is from RNAcentral.